RNAcentral lists this ribosomal RNA (253 nucleotides) under uncultured bacterium. Its description in RNAcentral is "partial 16S ribosomal RNA". It matches the Rfam family "Bacterial small subunit ribosomal RNA", at positions 524 to 776 of the family's 1533-position model. The record is from RNAcentral.
UACGGGGGGGGCAAGCGUUGUUCGGAAUUACUGGGCGUAAAGGGCCAGUAGGCGGCCAACUAAGUCCGACGUGAAAUCCCCAGGCUUAACCUGGGAACUGCGUCGGAUACUGGAUGGCUUGAAUUCGGGAGAGGGAUGCAGAAUUCCAGGUGUAGCGGUGAAAUGCGUAGAUAUCUGGAGGAACACCGGUGGCGAAGGCGGCAUCCUGGACCAAUAUUGACGCUGAGGAGCGAAAGCCAGGGGAGCAAACGGG